RNAcentral lists this ribosomal RNA (828 nucleotides) under Haptophyta environmental samples. Its description in RNAcentral is "bacterial SSU rRNA". It matches the Rfam family "Bacterial small subunit ribosomal RNA", at positions 488 to 1325 of the family's 1533-position model. Lineage: Eukaryota; Haptophyta. The record is from RNAcentral.
UKCAUCGGCUAACUCCGUGCCAGCAGCCGCGGUAAUACGGGGGAUGCAAGCGUUAUCCGGAAUCAUUGGGCGUAAAGCGCCUGUAGGUUGUUUAAUAAGUCUGUUGUUAAAGACUAGGGCUUAACCCUAGAAAAGCAAUGGAAACUACUAGACUAGAGUAUGGCAGGGGUAGAGGGAAUUUCUAGUGUAGCGGUGAAAUGCGUAGAUAUUAGAAAGAACACCGGUGGCGAAAGCGCUCUACUGGACCAUUACUGACACUCAGAGGCGAAAGCUAGGGUAGCAAAAGGGAUUAGAUACCCCUGUAGUCCUAGCCGUAAACGAUGGAUACUACAUGUUGUGCAUUACGUACAGUAUGGUAGCUAACGCGUUAAGUAUCCCGCCUGGGGAGUACGCUCGCAAGGGUGAAACUCAAAGGAAUUGACGGGGGCCCGCACAAGCGGUGGAGCAUGUGGUUUAAUUCGAUGCAACGCGAAGAACCUUACCAGGACUUGACAUACUACAAAUUCUUUUGAGAAAGAGAAGUGCCUUCGGGAAUGUAGAUACAGGUGGUGCAUGGCUGUCGUCAGCUCGUGUCGUGAGAUGUUGGGUUAAGUCCCGCAACGAGCGCAACCCUUAUUUUUAGUUACCAAUUCGUUGGGUUCUCUAGAAAGACUGCCGGUGACAAACCGGAGGAAGGUGAGGAUGACGUCAAGUCAGCAUGCCCCUUAUGUCCUGGGCUACACACGUGCUACAAUGGUUAAGACAAAGAGUCGCGAGCUCGUGAGAGUGAGCUAAUCUCAUAAACUUAGCCCAAGUUCAGAUUGUAGGCUGCAACUCGCCUACAUGAAG